GAAAUACCGUUAAUAUUGUCUUUAGAACCAGCCGGUAAAAAAAUGAGCAACUUUUAGACAUCGUAUGGCCAUCGCGCCAUCAUCGUAAUCCAUCAUGUAGCCUUCGUAAUCCAUCGUGUAGCCUUCGUGAUCCAUAGUGUAGGCUUCGGCUGAGAUAUGAAGCUUAAAUACCCCUCUUCGGUUAACCUUCGUAUGUCCAUCUUUUGCU
Molecule: long non-coding RNA, 208 nt
Filed under: Mytilus galloprovincialis (Mediterranean mussel)
Lineage: Eukaryota; Metazoa; Mollusca; Bivalvia; Mytilida; Mytilidae
Source: RNAcentral